Molecule: ribosomal RNA, 630 nt
Filed under: uncultured bacterium
Lineage: Bacteria
Description: bacterial SSU rRNA
Rfam family: Bacterial small subunit ribosomal RNA
Source: RNAcentral
UGGCGACCGGCGCACGGGUGAGUAACGCGUAUGCAACCUGCCUGUAACAGGGGAAUAGCCUCUUGAAAGAGAGAUUAAUGCCGCAUAAUACGAUAUUCGGGCAUCCGGGUAUUUUUAAACAUUUAUGGGUUACAGAUGGGCAUGCGUUUCAUUAGGUAGUUGGUGAGGUAACGGCUCACCAAGCCGACGAUGAAUAGGGGUUCUGAGAGGAAGGUCCCCCACACUGGUACUGAGACACGGACCAGACUCCUACGGGAGGCAGCAGUGAGGAAUAUUGGUCAAUGGACGCAAGUCUGAACCAGCCAAGUCGCGUGAAGGAUGAAGGUAUUAUGUAUUGUAAACUUCUUUUGUCAGGGAAUAAUGGGUGUCACGUGUGACGCAGAGGAAUGUACCUGACGAAUAAGCAUCGGCUAACUCCGUGCCAGCAGCCGCGGUAAUACGGAGGAUGCGAGCGUUAUCCGGAUUUAUUGGGUUUAAAGGGUGCGUAGGCGGUUUGUUAAGUCAGUGGUGAAAGUUUGCGGCUCAACCGUAAAAUUGCCAUUGAAACUGGCGAACUUGAGUACAGUAGAGGUAGGCGGAAUUCGUGGUGUAGCGGUGAAAUGCUUAGAUAUCACGAAGAACUCCGAUUGC